UCACAUUGCGUAAAACAUGAA
RNAcentral lists this non-coding RNA (21 nucleotides) under Caenorhabditis elegans. Lineage: Eukaryota; Metazoa; Nematoda; Chromadorea; Rhabditida; Rhabditidae. The record is from RNAcentral.